This 426-nucleotide ribosomal RNA is filed under the name uncultured prokaryote. RNAcentral describes it as "partial 16S ribosomal RNA". It matches the Rfam family "Bacterial small subunit ribosomal RNA", at positions 355 to 796 of the family's 1533-position model. The record is from RNAcentral.
UGGGGAAUUUUCCGCAAUGGGCGCAAGCCUGACGGAGCAACGCCGCGUGAGGGAGGAAGGCCUGUGGGUUGUAAACUUCUUUUCUCUAGGAAGAAGGUCUGACGGUACUAGAGGAAUCAGCAUCGGCUAACUCCGUGCCAGCAGCCGCGGUAAGACGGAGGAUGCAAGCGUUAUCCGGAAUUAUUGGGCGUAAAGCGUCCGUAGGCGGUUAUACAAGUCUGCUGUUAAAGACCACAGCUCAACUUCAUAAGGGCAGUGGAAACUGCGUAACUAGAGUACGUUCGGGGUAGAGGGAAUUCCUGGUGUAGCGGUGAAAUGCGUAGAUAUCAGGAAGAACACCGGUGGCGAAAGCGCUCUACUAGGCCGUAACUGACACUGAGAGACGAAAGCUAAGGGAGCGAAUGGGAUUAGAUACCCCGGUAGUCC